CUUAACGGUAAAAUUGCCUUAGAUACUGGGUGUCUUGAAUCCAGAAGAGGUCGGUGGAAUUCGUGGUGUAGCGGUGAAAUGCAUAGAUAUCACGAAGAACAUCAGUGGCGAAGGCGGCCGACUGGGCUGGUAUUGACGCUGAGGCACGAGAGCGUGGGGAGCGAACAGGAUUAGAUACCCUGGUAGUCCACGCUGUAAACGAUGUGUGCUAGUUGUUGGUUGCGGAGCGAUCCGUGAUCAGUGACGCAGUUAACGCAGUAAGCACACCACCUGGGGAGUACGUUCGCAAGAAUGAAACUCAAAGGAAUUGACGGGGGCCCGCACAAGCGGUGGAGCAUGUGGCUUAAUUCGAUGCAACGCGAAGAACCUUACCUGGGCUAAAUCCAUUGCGACCGUCCCGGAAACGGGAUUUCCCUUCGGGGCGC
This 425-nucleotide ribosomal RNA is filed under the name uncultured Bacteroidota bacterium. RNAcentral describes it as "bacterial SSU rRNA". It matches the Rfam family "Bacterial small subunit ribosomal RNA", at positions 608 to 1029 of the family's 1533-position model. The record is from RNAcentral. Lineage: Bacteria; Pseudomonadati; Bacteroidota.